Molecule: long non-coding RNA, 943 nt
Organism: Daktulosphaira vitifoliae (grape phylloxera)
Lineage: Eukaryota; Metazoa; Arthropoda; Insecta; Hemiptera; Phylloxeridae
Exons: 4
Source: RefSeq, a predicted model, not a curated record
AAAGACAUAAGAGUACACAUAAUUUUAACACAUAACUUUAAUUUGUUUUUUAUAUAAUACAUUAAAACUUAUACUCUUAUACGACCUUAAAUAAAUUUUAGCUUGUUUGAAAUUUUUUCAUUUUCAUUUUAAACUGUUUUUAUUUUAAAGUUACAGUAAAUAGUUAUGGAUUUAACACUAUUAAUCUCCAUACUAAUGAUCGUAUCUACUGAAGUUCAAAGCAAGCCAUUGUGUUGUUUAUGUGAGUAAAAAUAAUCCAACUAAAAUCAUCAAUUUGUAAUGUUUAAACUAAAGAUAUGUUUUUAUGAAAACUAAAUAUUCCAAAGAAAAAAAAAGUUGUGAUAAAGUUAUAUGUACAAUAUUUUGCUAACGUUUUGCAUACAACUUUUUGGAAAAAUUUUGUUUUCAAUUUCUUUCAAUCUAUUUCAUAGAGUGAUAGAUAAUAAAUCCGGAUUUUCUUGAAAUCCGUAAAAUUCUAAUUUUAGGUUUCGAACUUCAGCAUAAAAAACCGGAAUUUACAAAGAAACUGGAUUUAAAGAUUAAUUCCAAAGUUUGAACUUCAAAAUUAGACUUAUAAACUUCAUAAAACUCAUACUAUCAUUAAUAAAGAGUAAUUUAUUUAUCGCUAACCACUAGAUUUCUUCCAAAAUUAUAAUAAUUUAGAGACAUUUUUCUUUAGUUUAUUUAUUUUGUUAUUCCAACUGUCUUAAAUCCAGUAGUCACUAUAUUAACUGUUGAUAAAUCACACCUAAAAUCUAGAAUUGUAAAGGAAAAAUUAAAAUCCGCAUUUCGGAUAAAAAAAAUCUGAUUUUCUAAACUCCAUUAAGUCCGUUUUUCCUCAUAUAAAGUAUGAAAUUUUCAUAUUUCAUAUUUUCGUAACAAUGUGAACAUUAUAAUCUUAUUUAUUAUUCAUUUAUUAUUUAUUAUUAUAUUAUGUAUUAUU